RNAcentral lists this long non-coding RNA (257 nucleotides) under Homo sapiens (human). RNAcentral's name for it is "non-protein coding lnc-APP-1:1". Lineage: Eukaryota; Metazoa; Chordata; Mammalia; Primates; Hominidae. The record is from RNAcentral.
CCAAGGCUCUCUGACUCCUUCCCAGAUCUUCUCAGCUUAGCAGCUGAAGACUGAUACUGCCGGAUUGCCUCAGAAGCCUACAAGACCAUCACAGACGCUCUAGGUAACUCUCACAGUGGAAGGUUCCCACGCCUCCCCUAAUCCUGAGAAACAUCACCCAUUCUCUCUCUCCAUACCACCCCCUGCCAAAAAUGUUUCGCCGCCCCAACACUUCGACACUAUUUUGUUUUAUUCUUCUUAUUAAUAUAAGAAGACAG